This 520-nucleotide ribosomal RNA is filed under the name uncultured Glomeromycotina. RNAcentral's name for it is "SSU rRNA". It matches the Rfam family "Eukaryotic small subunit ribosomal RNA", at positions 569 to 1092 of the family's 1831-position model. The record is from RNAcentral. Lineage: Eukaryota; Fungi; Glomeromycota.
AGCAGCCGCGGUAAUUCCAGCUCCAAUAGCGUAUAUUAAAGUUGUUGCAGUUAAAAAGCUCGUAGUUGAAUUUCGAGACCGGUUUACUGGUCGUGCUUUUGUACGUACUGGUAUUAUUGGUUUCUCCUUUCUGACGAAUCUUAAUGCCAUUAAUUUGGUGUUUUGGGGAAUCAGGACUGUUACUUUGAAAAAAUUAGAGUGUUUAAAGCAGGCUCACGCUUGAAUACAUUAGCAUGGAAUAACGAAAUAGGACGUUUGAUUUUAUUUUGUUGGUUUCUAGGAUCGACGUAAUGAUUAAUAGGGAUAGUUGGGGGCAUUAGUAUUCAAUUGUCAGAGGUGAAAUUCUUGGAUUUAUUGAAGACUAACUACUGCGAAAGCAUUUGCCAAGGAUGUUUUCAUUAAUCAAGAACGAAAGUUAGGGGAUCGAAGACGAUCAGAUACCGUCGUAGUCUUAACCAUAAACUAUGCCGACUAGGGAUCGGAUGAUGUUAAUUUUUAAUGACUCAUUCGGCGCCUUGCG